GACACUUGCUAUUCAAAAGACUCUAGGCUG
Molecule: non-coding RNA, 30 nt
Filed under: Homo sapiens (human)
Lineage: Eukaryota; Metazoa; Chordata; Mammalia; Primates; Hominidae
Source: RNAcentral